GCAGUUCUUGGACUAUAGGGGCGGGGUCCUGACUAAACACAUUGGUCAGUAAAACUGCUGAAAGCAUUGGGCUUUCCGCACCAUUAAUCAAUGGAAGUUUUAAAUGUGAAGGCAGACAGGUUGAUUUAAAGUGUUGCAUUGUGGUAACCUCUCCUGUAUACGGUGACCUGCUCUGGAUCCCGGACAAUCUAUCACUGAGCACAUCACUGUCAAAGCGCAAGGUUUGAUUUUAGAGAUGAAACUCCUGGAAGGGAACCACCAGAAAUUGCCCAUCUUCAAAUGAACUAUGUGUAUUUUGGCCAACUUAGGACCCAAUCCUUUGUUCUUUUGCUACACAAAACUCCCAUAGUGUGUUACAGAAAUGCAGGAAUGGGCUACUUCCCUACACACUGUGAUAAAGAGAGCAAUUCAUAAACUGAUCAUGUUUCAAUGUUAAAGUUACUAAGGGCUAGAUGGUGACUUGGAUUAUACCAUUCAAGCAAAGGACGAAGAACAUCCUUCAUAUCCCUGUGCAGGCUGCCAUAGACCUUGGCUCAGGGAUACAGGCAUAAGCAGGGCUAUCUGCUUGCUCACUCCCUCCCUGGAGCUGUGGGGUGCAGAAAGGGUGCCACUUUGUCUCAAUCCCUUUUUAAAUCAGGUCCAAAAUCAUUUCCCUGCUUUAUACUCUCAACUUCCUGCUUAAACUGAACUUGGAAAAUCUCAGUAUACCAAGCCACGAUUGUUAACUUUCAUGAUUUUUAUCACAAGGCCCCUGGUAUUUGGUAUUUUUACUCAAGCCCCAGCUACUGGAGUCAUGUGACUAAUGCUGAAUCUCAUUUUUUUUAAAGGUAAACCCUAGCCCUUGUGGUUGCAGAGGGUGACCCAAGCAUAAUCUAAAGUCUCAAGAGCCAGAUGGCAAAUGAAAAGAACUCACAUAAUGUUUUGUAAAAACAAGGAGUACUUGUGGCACCUUAGAGAUGAACAAAUUUAGUUAGUCUCUAAGGUGCCACAAGGACUCCUCGUUUUUGCUGAUACAGACUAACAUGGCUACCACUCCGAAACCAUUUUAUUUUGUAAAUCGCAUGGGUUUUUAAAGCCAAUUUCAUGCCUUUGGAAGGCCUGACUCAUCCUAAGGCUUGACAGUGUUGUAAAACUUUAGUAGUCAUUCUGCUACAGGCAUUCAAAGGGGGGUGAGGCGGAGAGGCACAUUUGUCUGGUUCCUGUGCUGCCCUGAAGGCAACCUUGUGCCAGUUUCUUUCAUUGCAAUUUCGGAUAUAAAAUGUGUAGCUGAAUGACUAGUAAGUUUGGAAUAGAUAUUUUUAUUUAUUUUAUUUUUAAUUUUAGAAGGGGAGAUAUUGGCUGUUAAGGUUUCAACAAGUUUCCUCUGAGUGGCAAUGUGCAGAGGCCUCUAAAGUGGAAUUUUUCUUUUGCAAAGGGUUUUAGGAUAGAAAAAGACAAAAUUCCUCCUCUCCUGUGCCAAAGUAACAGCCUCUUACUGUAUGUAUACACAUCUGUAAGACAAGCUUGACUCUGGUAGCUAAGAAGCUGCGCUCUGAUUAUCAGUAAAAGCAGAGACGACUCUUGGUUCUAACACAGGUUAGAGAUCACACCUUUUAAUUAGUCCAGCUCCAGAUUAUUAGGUGUCCUCUGAUCAGUAAUGAUCAAAGAAUGGUUGGUUCGUGUCAGCAAAUGACACUGAUAAACCACAGACUCUUGUAAAAUAAAUUAGUUCUGUGGCACUUAUCUUUCUCCUCUCUCACAGAUUUUUUUUUAAAAAAAUCAUAUUUUGACAUUUAAGAAUGAAUAGAUGCCAGUCACAGCCUACCUUACUGAUGUUUGAUUUGUUUCUUCAUUGCAUCCAUGGUGCACCGGCCCCCAUCCAGAACAUACAGACACAUUUCCUACAAUGAAGAACAAGAAGGUAAAAGGAAAGGAAACCUUGUAGCUAAGGCACUAGACUCGGAUAUCUGAGCUCAGUUCCUGGCUAUAUCUUUCCACAGGCUUCUUAAUCUCUCUGUGCCUCGUUCCCUGAUGAGCAUGAUGCUCUCACCUCUCUUGUCUGGCUUAUCUAUUGAAAUUUUAAGCUCUUUGGAGUAGGUUCUCUCUCUGCUUGUGUGUGUACAAUAUCUGGCAUAACGGCGUUAGUUCUCAGUUAGUCCCUCAACCUGCUGCAGUGCAUCAGUGUAUUUUUUGUGGUCCCUGGCUAUUUGGUGCCAUGCAUCUUCCUUUUGUGUUUAUGCAACAUACUUCUGGGUUAAUGUUGGGUUUUUUUAAACAAGAAAUCUUCUUUUCACAAUAAAACUCUAAUUACAAGUUAACAUUUAUUUGAUUCCUUGUGACAAUACUGGUGACUCUGUAGACCACAUUAUGGAAAGGGAGUAUGCCAUAUAAAAAAAAUCAUGUUUUGUUCAUUUUCCUCUUGAAUAUAUCCUCUCGUGUCUCUACCUACUA
Long non-coding RNA from Chelonia mydas (Green sea turtle), 2430 nucleotides. RefSeq lists it as uncharacterized. The transcript is spliced from 2 exons. NCBI's taxonomy places the organism in Eukaryota, Metazoa, Chordata, Testudines, Cheloniidae. The record is from RefSeq and is a predicted model, not a curated record.